CUUGGUAAUUUUAAGCAUAGCAAACUAGGUUCUUUAAUUAAAAAGUUUUUUUUUUUUUUUUUUUUUUUGGUCAUUAGUUAUUAAUUUUACACAGUUAACACUGAAAAAUGAAUGAUAUUUAAUCAUUGUCACUUACUGAGAAGCAAGAACAAUGAGUGAGCCCAAAGGAGUCUACUACCAUACCUAUUAAGUGUAGGGAAGGGUUUAAGUAUUUUUUACAUACUUUUCUUCUGUCAUUGGAAAAACACCACCCAUCUGAAAUGGACAGAAGAAAAUUUUCCCAGGUGUUCUACUCUCAUCAGAACAGCUUGGUGCCAGUGACCUCCACACUGUUAGCUGGCUCCCAUACUGCUUGAAGGGCACCAGUCAAGAGCUGUCAAAGGGAGU
Molecule: long non-coding RNA, 387 nt
Filed under: Homo sapiens (human)
Lineage: Eukaryota; Metazoa; Chordata; Mammalia; Primates; Hominidae
Description: HSALNT0330514
Source: RNAcentral